This 341-nucleotide long non-coding RNA is filed under the name Coturnix japonica (Japanese quail). RNAcentral's name for it is "lncRNA (ENSCJPG00005000843.1)". Lineage: Eukaryota; Metazoa; Chordata; Aves; Galliformes; Phasianidae. The record is from RNAcentral.
CUGCAGAUGUUUAUAAUCCCUUUCAUUUACAGAAGAACAGAGGAUGCUAAAGAGUGGCAAAAAAUGCACUGAAUUCUCUUUUUUCUGGAGUAUGAUGGUGAGGGAAAUCUUAUGUCUCUUUUUGUCACUUGGGAUGGUAUGAAGGCUACACAAAUGGAAAUACUGAAUGACCAAUGUGGAAAUGAACCCAGGAGGGAGAAUCUGUGAUGAGGUCAUCCCUGUGGUCUGCAUUAAUGACAUUAUCUCCCUGGAGAUCAUUAUCUGGUGAUUGCAUCCCGUCAUGGAUUGUUCUCAGUGACCUGAGUGCUACUGAUGAUCUAACUGGCAUAAACUAUAAUUGA